GACGAACGCUGGCGGCGUGCCUAAUACAUGCAAGCAGAACGCUGAAGGAGGAGCUUGCUUCUCUGGAUGAGUUGCGAACGGGUGAGUAACGCGUAGGUAACCUGCCUGGUAGCGGGGGAUAACUAUUGGAAACGAUAGCUAAUACCGCAUAAUAGUAGAUGUCGCAUGACAUUUGCUUAAAAGGUGCAAUUGCAUCACUACCAGAUGGACCUGCGUUGUAUUAGCUAGUUGGUGAGGUAACGGCUCACCAAGGCAACGAUACAUAGCCGACCUGAGAGGGUGGUCGGCCACACUGGGACUGAGACACGGCCCAGACUCCUACGGGAGGCAGCAGUAGGGAAUCUUCGGCAAUGGACGGAAGUCUGACCGAGCAACGCCGCGUGGGUGAAGAAGGUUUUCGGAUCGUAAAGCUCUGUUGUAAGGGAAGAACGAGUGUGAGAGUGGAAAGUUCACACUGUGACGGUAUCUUACCAGAAAGGGACGGCUAACUACGUG
RNAcentral lists this ribosomal RNA (495 nucleotides) under uncultured bacterium. RNAcentral describes it as "partial 16S ribosomal RNA". It matches the Rfam family "Bacterial small subunit ribosomal RNA", at positions 28 to 507 of the family's 1533-position model. The record is from RNAcentral.